Pelobates cultripes (western spadefoot toad) is the source of this 1186-nucleotide non-coding RNA. The record is from the annotation of a GenBank genome assembly. Lineage: Eukaryota; Metazoa; Chordata; Amphibia; Anura; Pelobatidae.
GCCUCAUAUCGAGGACACGAAACUCUACACAAAGAUGCCAAGUAGGUACCAGACUUACAGCUGAACAAAAAAACAGAUCACAUUCAUUUGGGAAAGGCCUUCCAGAUACCAAAAAUAAGAAUUUCACAUUCCUGCAAUACUUCUAUUCACAUGUUACCUACCACUCCCCGGCAUACCCAUCAUAAGACAUGCAGACUAAGUCGCUACAACACUCCGCACAACGAUAUAUAUCAGACAUUAGAGGCUACCAUCGUUACGCUCUAGACGGCACAUGUUUUCCCAGCCACUAACUUAUUGGGAAGCCACUCCAAGUGAGGGUUCCUCAUCCAAUUACAUGUCCACUAUAGGAGCAACUGAUCCAGAAAUCAGAUCCUAUGGAAAUUUCAUGUAUAUAUUGCUGUAUAUCCGCUACUCUCCAGCAGACUGCAGAGAAUACUUUACAAAAGAUACCUCCCUCUACAGAUAGUUUCAAUCAAAUAGGGGCUUGGUCAUUCCCAUUCUCUUCAACACACUUGACUGAUCCCGAGACCGGGGCCGGGCUUACAGCAUACAGAAGGAACCUCGGUAGAGGGACUGCAGUCACCAGAGCUCUCCUUAUGGAGCAACACACAACCACACAUGACCAGGCCCACCCUAGGGCAUAAGUCCACAAAUAUGGUACCCCACUUGUUAGUGACUCUGCAGUGUUGUCGUUGCAUCUGUCCUGAUGUUGUAGAACAAUAUCGCUUGUAAUGGCACCCCCAGGCAUAAAGGGGGUUAAACCGCCGUUUAGUAGAUCUUCCCCUUCCAGAGACACAGGCACAGCUACUGCAGAACACCAAACUCCCAAACUGGAUACAAAAUAGCACUCCAACUCCCGAACUGGAACCUCACUAAUAGCUGCUAGCAGACGAACAGGAAAAGCAGACAAUCAGCUUACACUCCUGGCAAUCAGUCAGCAUACAGUGAAUCCCCCCCAAGAACGAGACAGAGCUCCGUGUUGAGGGUCAAGCAGUGGUCAGUUUAAUGAGGGCUACCUGCCCAGUAUUUAUGCAGGUCUCCCACCUGGUGGACACUCCCCUAGGGGACCAGAUGGAAGACUGUAACAAAAGACAGACAUGUACCAAUUACAGACAUACAGAAGUAAAACAUCCCCACAAUGCAUCCUGGCUUCCUCCCCUCUGCCCUGGAGAAGUAAUUCAAUUAU